Artibeus jamaicensis (Jamaican fruit-eating bat) is the source of this 1710-nucleotide long non-coding RNA. RefSeq lists it as uncharacterized. The record is from RefSeq and is a predicted model, not a curated record. The transcript is spliced from 6 exons. NCBI's taxonomy places the organism in Eukaryota, Metazoa, Chordata, Mammalia, Chiroptera, Phyllostomidae.
UCCUCCCCCCCCCCCGGGGACUGAAUCACCCCCAGUUGACAUCAAGCCUCGGCCGCCAAUCAGACUGGCUUUCUCUGCCCACCUGCCCCUCCUCGGCUCCCCAGAACUUCAGCUUGCAUGUCGCUUUGGCUCACCGUGGCUCCAGCUCUGCGUCUGAUGCCAUUCCCAGGACUCCCCUCAAGAGUGUGAACCUGCCCCCCAUGCACCCCCCAGUUAUGAGCUCAGAGUCAUCAUCUGGAACACGGGGGAUGUGGUUCUGGACGCUGUGAACCCGCUCACUGGAGAGAUGUCGAGCCACAGCUGGGUGAAAAGGUCCAGCUGGGUGAAGGGGCUGGAGCACGACAGGCAGGAGACGGCCGUGCACUUCAACUCCCUGACUGGGGAGGGAACUUCAACUGGUGCUUCUCGUUCCGCUGUGACUACCUGCCCACGGAGACGGAGGAGUGGGAGGUGAGCAUCCGGUGCCGCCCAGACCUUCGCGCUGGAGGAGGCGGAGUUCGGGCAGCCUGCGUGCUGGUCCUGCAGGUCUGGGACUAAUACUGCAUCUCCGCCAACGACUUCUUCGGUACUGGAGCCUCCCACCUCACCCUAACUCGACUUCUGCCCUCAUUGCCCUGCCUCCUGGCCCUUGGUUCCUUCUUCUAACGCAGUGGGAUCCUGGAUGUCAGCCCUAGGUCACUAACCUUUGCCGUCUGGCCGAAUUACUGAACUUAGCCAUGAGCACAGUGUCCGCCGUUCCUCCCCAAAGUCCCCCACUCACUCCUCUGGUUUGACCCCACUCAGGUUGCUCCGGACUCUGAGGCCACGGCCUUUGGUGCCUGUUUUAGCAAUCUGGUCCUGCCCUUGACCCUGUUUCACUGGGGGCUGUGGUGAGUGGUUCAUAGCUGCGUAACAACCACCACAUUCUAAUGAUUUCUGGUGCUCUGAUUUACAAUCCCAUGUACUGCCUCCUUCCCCGUGGCCCAAACGGACUUUGAUCUCCUGCCUAACCCAGAGAGCUCUGGACUUGCAGGAUCCCUCGAGCUGCAGCUACCGGACAUGGUGCAGGGCACCGGGGCCAGAGCUCUGUUCUGUGUGGCUGGCCCGUGAUGGGGCUGGGCCCAGGUGCAAUCUGUCCCACUGCUCUCGCUACUUGCGGGGUUGGUGGCCUGUGGUGAAGCUGAAGGAGCCAGAGGACGGGAGCGGGAGCAGCAGGAGGCUCAGGCAGGAAAGAGGUGGAGGAGGAGGAGGAAGGGCCGGCCAGAAGACACAGACAGAGUUCCUCGACCCAGGAGGCAACAUCUACAUCCUCACGGGGAAGGUGGAGGCAGAGUUUGAGCUGCUGACUGUGGAAGAGGCUGAGAAAAGGCCAGUGGGGAAGGGGCGGAAGGAGCCGGAGCCCUUGGAGAAGCCCAAUCACCCAAAACCUCCUUCAACUGAAUUGUGAACCUGCUGAAGACCUUCAUCUUCUUCACCUGGCGCCGGUACUGGCACAUCCUGCUGCUGCUGCUGGCGCUGAUCAUCAUCUUCCUCCUCCUCGCCUUCUACACCAUGCCUGGUCAGAUCAGCCAGGUCAUCUUCCGCCCCCUCCACCAGCCCCCUGGCCCUAACUGACCUUGGACUCUGAUCCGCUAGCGCCUACCCAUCUCCCAUUCCUGGAAGUCCUUCCCAUCAAUAUGAGUUACUUGAGUUCACUUCUUCGUUUGAAUAAACCUUCAUCUGCAUCCACCA